CUGAGAGGGCCCUGACCACAACCGAGGAGGAACCCCGAUCACAACCGGCGACGAGCCCCAUGGAGGACCCCUGAUCACAACCAGGGAGGAGCCCCGGUCACAACUAGGGAGGAGCCCUGAUGGCAAUUAGAGCAAAGCCCAGGUGCAGCAAUGGAGACCCAGCAUACCAAAGAUAAAUAGAUAAAAUUAGAGAAGCAACCUCCUAUGAUUAAAAUAUUUCACCAAGGAAUAGCUAGGAUAAACGAUUUGCAGCUCCAAGAUUUAAACUCCAGUUUAUUAAAAACUGAUGCUCCUCCUACAUAUCAAACUGACUCUCAAACAUGUGUCAGAGCUCAACAAACUUCCAAAAUCAACUUGAAAACUGGUCUGUAUUUAAGGUCCUAGGGAAUUGGCAAAAGGCAGCAGAAAUAUGCACAUGUUAUUUUUUUUUUUAAAAAAAGGAGAACUGAUAGAGAAAAGUAAGCCAGAACAACCUACAAUAAACAAGGGAUAUUUUAAAGUGUUUCUAACAAUUGACUUGCUUGUUAACAAACGACAUGGUAGGCUAUUUUUAUUUAUUUUAUUUAUUUUUUUACAAAUACAAAGGUUUCUUUAUUUGUGACCAUUUAUUUACAAUCUCCACUCAAGGAUAAUGACACAUAUGCAUACACGAUUUCCAUCCAGAAAAGUAGGCUAUUUUUAAUCCCCAGGGUACUGUUAAAGUAUUGUUUCACUUCUCUUUACAUCUUUCAGGACCCUGCCUGUUUUCCACUUCCUGACCUUUGUCAAGGACUUAAAGGAACCGCUGUCAAGUUGAACUGUGGUGGAAAGCUUGAAUCAGCUUGAAGGGGCUUGCAAAUCUCAGCUGGAUUCUCAGGAGCAAGCAUGUUGAGAACCUCUGAUUUAAGAAGUUAUUUUGUUAGCUGGAAUGCUAACUAGUACAUUUUGUAAUUCCCAUGCACUUCAAGUCUUCUUCCAGAGGGACUCUCAGAAUACUGUGCUAUAAUUUCUUUUCUAUUUUCGUUUAUUGUUAUCAGAUAAUGUGCACAUGGUAACAAACCAAGGAGUACAGAGAGCUUCGGCCCAGAGAUAUUAAUAAAUGCUCGAAAUGAAA
This is a non-coding RNA of Odocoileus virginianus texanus, 1093 nucleotides long. NCBI's taxonomy places the organism in Eukaryota, Metazoa, Chordata, Mammalia, Artiodactyla, Cervidae. The record is from RefSeq and is a predicted model, not a curated record.